RNAcentral lists this ribosomal RNA (301 nucleotides) under uncultured bacterium. RNAcentral's name for it is "partial 16S ribosomal RNA". It matches the Rfam family "Bacterial small subunit ribosomal RNA", at positions 509 to 808 of the family's 1533-position model. The record is from RNAcentral.
CAGUCGCCACGGUAAUACGUAGGGUGCGAGCGUUAAUCGGAAUUACUGGGCGUAAAGCGGGCGCAGACGGUUACUUAGGCAGGAUGUGAAAUCCCCGGGCUCAACCUGGGAACUGCGUUCUGAACUGGGUGACUAGAGUGUGUCAGAGGGAGGUAGAAUUCCACGUGUAGCAGUGAAAUGCGUAGAGAUGUGGAGGAAUACCGAUGGCGAAGGCAGCCUCCUGGGAUAACACUGACGUUCAUGCCCGAAAGCGUGGGUAGCAAACAGGAUUAGAUACCCUGUAGUCCCUGUCUCUUAUACA